Molecule: non-coding RNA, 236 nt
Organism: Pelobates cultripes (western spadefoot toad)
Lineage: Eukaryota; Metazoa; Chordata; Amphibia; Anura; Pelobatidae
Source: the annotation of a GenBank genome assembly
GGACGAGGUAUGAAAACAUUAGAUACUUCACGAAAACUUAAGCGUGAUCAUCACACUAUUAAGAGAUUUGUGGCUGAUUUAGAGCAUAGACGGGUUUGUGCAAAUAAAGGUACAUUGAGGAAGAUUUCUGCCAGAUCCAUGCAUCGGAUCAAGAGAGCAGCUGCUAAGAUACCAUUACAUAGCAGCAAACAGAUAUUUGAAGCUGCUGGUGCCUCUGGAGUCCCACGGACAUCAAG